This 582-nucleotide ribosomal RNA is filed under the name uncultured bacterium. RNAcentral's name for it is "bacterial SSU rRNA". It matches the Rfam family "Bacterial small subunit ribosomal RNA", at positions 619 to 1203 of the family's 1533-position model. The record is from RNAcentral.
AAUUGCCGUUGAAACUGGUUCUCUUGAGUGUAGAUGAGGUGGGUGGAAUUUCGUGUGUAGCGGUGAAAUGCUUAGAUAUCACGAAGAACUCCAAUUGCGUAGGCAGCUCACUGGGCUACAACUGACGCUGAGGCACGAAGGUGCGGGGAUCAAACAGGAUUAGAUACCCUGGGUAGUCCGCACAGUAAACGAUGAAUACUAGCUGUUGGCGAUACACUGCCAGUGGCACAGCGAAAGCGUUAAGUAUUCCACCUGGGGAGUACGUUCGCAAGAAUGAAACUCAAAGGAAUUGACGGGGGCCCGCACAAGCGGAGGAACAUGUGGUUUAAUUCGAUGAUACGCGAGGAACCUUACCCGGGCUUGAAUUGCAUCUGAAUACAGCGGAAACGUUGUAGCUAGCAAUAGCAGAUGUGAAGGUGCUGCAUGGUUGUCGUCAGCUCGUGCCGUGAGGUGUCGGCUUAAGUGCCAUAACGAGCGCAACCCUCAUCAUUAGUUACUAACAGGUCAUGGUGAGGACUCUAAUGAGACUGCCGGCGUAAGCUGUGAGGAAGGUGGGGAAGACGUCAAAUCAGCACGGCCCUU